CGACCUCAGAUCAGACGAGACGACCCGCUGAAUUUAA
RNAcentral lists this ribosomal RNA (37 nucleotides) under Dysdera ninnii. Its description in RNAcentral is "partial 28S ribosomal RNA". RNAcentral also lists the same sequence under 9 other names. The record is from RNAcentral. Lineage: Eukaryota; Metazoa; Arthropoda; Arachnida; Araneae; Dysderidae.